This 1065-nucleotide long non-coding RNA is filed under the name Monodelphis domestica (gray short-tailed opossum). RNAcentral describes it as "lncRNA (ENSMODG00000046129.1)". Lineage: Eukaryota; Metazoa; Chordata; Mammalia; Didelphimorphia; Didelphidae. The record is from RNAcentral.
CAAACACUUAAAUGGUUCAGAGCAAAAUCUCAGCAUCCUCUUUUUUAGGGAAUCCAAGUCCUGGACACUGAAAGACUUAAGGAGCUUCAUCGGUAAAACACCAGAGGCUGGAGUCACUUUUGCAUAGUCCCAUGAUUUUCUGUGUCUCUGUUGCACUUUGAACUUGUAUUGGUUCUGCGUUUGUUUGUUUAUCUAUCAUUACUUUUUCAGUGCAAACCCCUACUGUUAGAGCUGUUGUUAUUGCUAUCUCAGUGUCCUUGCCAUUGUCAUUGCCACUGGUAGUAUCAUUGGUAGCAGUCCCUAUCACUAGUUCCUUUCUCUUCCCCAUUUUCUCCUUCUUUUUCACUGUGAGGUCCUGGCACACCUCACUAAUGACUGCCAUUUGGAAGAACAAUUGAUCCAGUCUAUUGUCUAGGUUGUUGUUGAUGUCUCUGCCCAUUAUUAUUUUCAUUCCCUUUCUAAUGGUGCUGUAUAAUUGCCAUAGUACCACAAUGGUACCAUAGAUAGCUGGGAGGGUUGGCCAUACUAUAGAUAUUUCCAUUGUUAUGCAAUCCCAAUAUCUAGUGAUGUUUAUUGCAGCCCCUAUCACAUCAUUAAACAUGUUUAUGAUGGAACCAAAUAUUGAAUAAUACCAGUGUGCUAAAAUGGCUAACACUAGUAAGGUCCAUAUAAUUUUCUGGUACAUUUUUUCUUCUUUUGUAUUAGAAUUCUAUACCCCAAGUUGGCUGCCCCACCCCUCAGUCUCUUCCAACUGCCAGGUGUGACUGUUGGAAAUGGAUUCUUGUUGUAAUCUGGGGUACCAACUGUAAUGGAUGGGGGAAAAUGUAGUCACCUACUACAUUUACUUUGAGGCAAGGUCAUCACAGGAAGGUUCUAGAGCAUUAGAGAGAGAAGCUAGCCAGGAAAGUCACAUAGUAUUCAGCUGGUGGCAUUCAGGGAGUUGUGGAUAAACUUCUGUGAAAGAAGACCAGAAGUGUACUUGUUAAAUGUUUAACAAUGAUUCUCUGAAAAUGUGUGGCGCACUUUCAAAUUUAAUAAACUCCAUUACUUUCUUAAGUGUAGACA